CAUGUAGGCGGCUCUUUAAGUCACCUGUUAAAUUUCCCGGCUCAACCGGGAGUCUGCGGGUGAUACUGGAGGGCUAGAGUGUAAGAGAGAGAAGUGGAAUUCUCGGAGUAGCGGUAAAAUGCGUAGAUCUCGAGAGGAACACCAGAGGCGAAGGCGGCUUCUUGGUUUACAACUGACGCUAAAGUGCGAAAGCGUGGGGAGCAAACA
This 207-nucleotide ribosomal RNA is filed under the name uncultured bacterium. RNAcentral describes it as "partial 16S ribosomal RNA". It matches the Rfam family "Bacterial small subunit ribosomal RNA", at positions 568 to 774 of the family's 1533-position model. The record is from RNAcentral.